CCUACGGGAGGCAGCAGUGAGGAAUAUUGGUCAAUGGGCGGAAGCCUGAACCAGCCAAGUCGCGUGAGGGAAUAAGGCCCUACGGGUCGUAAACCUCUUUUGCCGGGGAGCAAGGGCGGGGACGUGUCCCGGCCCGGAGAGUACCCGGAGAAAAAGCAUCGGCUAACUCCGUGCCAGCAGCCGCGGUAAUACGGAGGAUGCGAGCGUUAUCCGGAUUUAUUGGGUUUAAAGGGUGCGUAGGCGGAGCGUUAAGUCAGUGGUCAAAUUGAGGGGCUCAACCCCUUCCCGCCAUUGAAACUGGCGCUCUUGAGUGGAAGAGAAGUAUGCGGAAUGCGUGGUGUAGCGGUGAAAUGCUUAGAUAUCACGAAGAACUCCGAUUGCGAAGGCAGCUUACUAAACUGCCACUGACAUUGAUGCUCGAAAGUGUGGGUAUCAAACAGGAUUAGAUACCCUAGUAGUC
Molecule: ribosomal RNA, 460 nt
Filed under: uncultured bacterium
Lineage: Bacteria
Description: partial 16S ribosomal RNA
Rfam family: Bacterial small subunit ribosomal RNA
Source: RNAcentral